Molecule: non-coding RNA, 68 nt
Organism: Podarcis lilfordi (Lilford's wall lizard)
Lineage: Eukaryota; Metazoa; Chordata; Lepidosauria; Squamata; Lacertidae
Source: the annotation of a GenBank genome assembly
GGAGACUGGCUUAGUGGCACAGCAUCUGCCUUGCAUGCAGGUGCCUGGUUCAAUCCCUGGCAUCUUCA